This 1364-nucleotide long non-coding RNA is filed under the name Cricetulus griseus (Chinese hamster). RNAcentral describes it as "lncRNA (ENSCGRG00015039551.1)". The record is from RNAcentral. Lineage: Eukaryota; Metazoa; Chordata; Mammalia; Rodentia; Cricetidae.
GUCAGACUUGGGCAGGAAGAGACAGGUUUCUUGUAUUUGGGAAAUGAUAGGAGGGCUCUAUUGCAUAGUAAGAAAACUGACCUCAGAGAGUGACCAGAACAGAGAAGUAAGCCCAGGGCCUCCUCUCUGAACACUUGUAGAAUCAAGAUGGUGGCAAAGGUGAUGGUAGUGACGACAAUGAUGAUGGCUGAUGCCCAGUGUCGAACUACUGUUAUGGAACAAGGCUUUGUGUAAUAUAAUUGCUAAUUAUUAAUUAAAUUGUGUUCGUUGCAUGCAUGGUUGUCUCACUUAUGCUUUAUACAACAGCCUUGCAAAAUUCCUAUGAGGAAAAGUCGAGCCUGGGUGGGUUUCACAAUUUGCCCUACAUCUUAUAACCAGGGCAGCAGUUAAGACUACCGGCCUCACUGUCAGUGUUCUCCUAGAAGCAGUUCUAGUCUUUCUUGUGAGAUGAGAUGCUUUAUCUUCUACCAUCAAAGUCAACUCAUGUAGGGUUUGAAUUCUAAGUACUGUCAUUAUCAAAAAAUAAUGGCCACAGUUAUCUUGUUGUUCUCAUCCAGUCUUCAGUGGCUUUCAGUCUGAUACUGAUUGCCAUUGUAGUCCCAUGAACCGUGUUGCUUUCCUAGGUAAUGAUACAGCAAAACUGUCAGCUUAUACUUUGCUAACUUCAUGUAAGGAAAGUGGAGACCACAGGAAGCACUGUGGGCAGAGUGGUGGUUUGGGGCUUUGUUUUGUUUGCUUUUUCUUCUUUUUUUUUUUAGACAAAGUUUUUCUUUUUUUUUGUUUUUGUUUUUUUGUUUGUUUGUUUUUGUAGUCUAAGCCAGCCUCAAAGUCCUAACACAGCUUCUGUCUUAGCCCCUAGGUUACUGGGAUCAUUAAGUGUGCACCACCAUAUCUAGUUUAUGGUCUUGAACUUGAAUUUUCACCCUCAACCUGAACGUCGUAACAAAGCCAUCUCCACAGAAACCCAGCCGAGGAGCAAGCAGAGAUGGCUCCUUGCAGAGCCGUGUAAGAUCUGUGCCACUGUUCUCUGGAUGGCUGAAGACACAGCUGCAUUUCCAUUUCAACAGGAAGUGAAGCAAGAUCACCUGUACUUCUGAAAAAUGCCAAGGAAACUUGCACAAGCUGCCGUAUGAACCCCAAAGAAGCCAGAAAGAGUGAGCGGAGAAUAGAAAAAAGAGACCGUUAUUAGACACUUUUGAUGUGGAUAUAUGUACAAUAUGCAUGGACUGAUGCCUUCUCAACAAUUUUAUGACAAAUUAAGUGACACCAUGAGGCCUCAUUUCACAGGUAAGAAAACUAGAUUUGGAAAAGACUGAGUGUUGUGCUCAAGGACACAAAAAAAUAAUUAAUAAAAACCAUUUAAG